Molecule: ribosomal RNA, 468 nt
Filed under: uncultured bacterium
Lineage: Bacteria
Description: partial 16S ribosomal RNA
Rfam family: Bacterial small subunit ribosomal RNA
Source: RNAcentral
GACGAACGCUGGCGGCGUGCUUAACACAUGCAAGUCGAACGGAAAGGCCCUGCUUUUGUGGGGUGCUCGAGUGGCGAACGGGUGAGUAACACGUGAGUAACCUGCCCUUGACUUUGGGAUAACUUCAGGAAACUGGGGCUAAUACCGGAUAGGAGCUCCUGCUGCUUGGUGGGGGUUGGAAAGUUUCGGCGGUUGGGGAUGGACUCGCGGCUUAUCAGCUUGUUGUUGGGGUAGUGGCUUACCAAGGCUUUGACGGGUAGCCGGCCUGAGAGGGGUACCGGCCACAUUGGGACUGAGAUACGGCCCAGACUCCUACGGGAGGCAGCAGUGGGGAAUAUUGCACAAUGGGCGGAAGCCUGAUGCAGCAACGCCGCGUGCGGGAUGACGGCCUUCGGGUGGUAAACCGCUUUCGCCUGUGACGAAGCGUGAGUGACGGUAGUGGUUAAAGAAGCACCGGCUAACUACGUG